GAAUCAAUUAUUGGGCUGAUGUUUGUGAUUAGGAAUUAAUGGUUCAAAUGUAGUGAAGUAAGAGCAGUAAAUCAGCUGAUGUUGGCUAUACAAUACGCUUAUUUGUCAAUCGUGGUACCAAAGAUUCUGCUCGUUAUGUGGUGAAACACCAAUUGACAUCAAACUAACCAAGAAAGCCUCCGAAAGAAGAGAUGGGAACCUUUUCGGUUUCGCAAUACACGGAGACGGCAACAUCGAAACGCUUUCUCCGACACGACUGCAACUUGUGGUGAAGGAGGGUAUGCAGAAGGGAAAUUGAAAACUGGAAACCUCGUUGCGAUUAAGCGGCUGAACCAUGGUCCGUCGGAAGAGAUAACCAUCGAUUUCUUAUCUGAGCUCAGAAUUGUAGUUCAUGUUGAUCAUCCAAAUAUUGCUAAGUUGAUUGGUUAUAUAAUAUAUUUUUUAAAUUUAUUUUAUAUAUUAAAAA
Gossypium raimondii (Peruvian cotton) is the source of this 466-nucleotide long non-coding RNA. RefSeq lists it as uncharacterized. The transcript has 4 exons. Lineage: Eukaryota; Viridiplantae; Streptophyta; Magnoliopsida; Malvales; Malvaceae. The record is from RefSeq and is a predicted model, not a curated record.